This 292-nucleotide ribosomal RNA is filed under the name uncultured bacterium. RNAcentral's name for it is "partial 16S ribosomal RNA". It matches the Rfam family "Bacterial small subunit ribosomal RNA", at positions 505 to 796 of the family's 1533-position model. The record is from RNAcentral.
GUGCCAGCCGCCGCGGUAAUACGGGGGGGGCAAGCGUUGUUCGGAAUUACUGGGCGUAAAGGGCUCGUAGGCGGCCGCACAAGUCCGACGUGAAAUCCCUCGGCUCAACCGAGGAACUGCGUCGGAAACUAGGUGGCUUGAAUCCAAGAGAGGGAUGCGGAAUUCCAGGUGUAGCGGUGAAAUGCGUAGAUAUCUGGAGGAACACCGGUGGCGAAGGCGGCAUCCUGGAUUGGUAUUGACGCUGAGGAGCGAAAGCCAGGGGAGCAAACGGGAUUAGAUACCCUCGUAGUCC